Long non-coding RNA from Nycticebus coucang (slow loris), 2623 nucleotides. RefSeq lists it as uncharacterized. The transcript has 3 exons. NCBI's taxonomy places the organism in Eukaryota, Metazoa, Chordata, Mammalia, Primates, Lorisidae. The record is from RefSeq and is a predicted model, not a curated record.
CAGGAAUCCAGCUGACUGAUCCCCCCAUAGUCCUGUAGGACAGUGUUUGACUCUAAAAUUUCAUGAGGUUCCCAGGACUGCUCUGUAGCUAAGGGAAGACAUAAAACAUUCAAUACCUGAAAUCAUUAUGGAAACAUCCCAGAAAAUGACUCCAUUCAUCCUUCUUCACAGGGCACUUGUUUUCCCCGGUCCUAGUUGCUGUGUCUGCUCUCUGGCUUCUCUGCUCUGUGUCCAGCUGGUUAGGAAAGCAACUGAAGAACAGGAACAGAGAUGAAAGAAGAGAAGAGACUACGUGUUUCCUCUUGGUCAGGAUGCUGUUGGUCAGGACCUCCCAGCUGCCGGGUAUCCCAGGACUGCCUUCGGUAUGUAAGUGAUUCUUCUUAUCAGUCUGAUUUGGGCUAGAGUGCUCAGACUUUGUUUCUCUGAUUUGUUUUCCCAAAAUGUCUGGGCCUUGCUGGUUGUUUCAAAGCAAACAUGAGAUAUUUUUGGACAUUAGUGAGAAAUUUCAAUGGGUGUCAAGGAAAAUCACAGUGUCAUUUGUCUGUAAAAAGAUUUUGGCUGCCAGUAUUCCAUCUGCAACUUACUUACCCAGCUGUGUAGCACUGAAUGAAGCAGCUGCCGAGCAAAACAGCACGGAGACAAGUUGCGACUUUUUUGAGUUGUAAUUCUGCUUCUGUGACUGACUUGGGACUUUGGGAUGCAAAUAAAUAAACCUUUUCUUAUUUAGCCUCAGCUCCUGGUCUAAUUCCUUUAGGAUAUUUUCCUGGCCCCCAUCACUCAAUUCAUCCUGAAAUCUAAAUAACCUAAUUUCCAUCUGUACACUGGAACACUCCCAUAAUUACUACAACCAAACAUUUCUGUGUUCCCGCAUGUGUCUGACCUGCCUCCACUAUUACACUGUCAGCCCUACCAUGGCACAGACUCCUGAAUGGGACACAGCUUGUAUUGCUCGCCUUGGUGUCCUUGGCUCUGGACAUGGCAUCUGGCAUACAGUAGACACUCGUACACAUUGCUGAAUACAAAAAUGGACCAUGUUGAUUCUAUAUGCUGAGACAUGAGGAUAUUUGAUAAACAGUUGUUAACUAGUUUAACUUUCCUGUUCACCUUUUCUUCUAUGAGUGUUUUUCAAAGAUUGCAUGGGGAGAUCAGAGGGCUCCCAGUUAGAUGAUGAGGAGGUUAGGACAGAGAUUCUCAAAUAUUUCAUCAGCUCUACCACACUUUGUUUGGAUUCCCAUGGAUCACUACCAGAAAUGUGCACUUGGGCAGUGCUCACCGGUCAAGGCAUAGUUCUGUAAAGACUCUGUUCUUCUUCCCCUAAACUUUCCUUUGCCUUUGAUGACAGCUGGUUUUAAAAAAGAGGAAAGAUAAUUUCUGUCAUCGAGACUCUUAGCAUGGAGAAAUAAAUGACAAAAUCAGAGACCUGACACAUUUUCCUAUUGCAUGUAACAUGGCAUUGGUCUUUGAACUUUGACUCUGGGGAGGAAUUUCUCAGUUAUUCCUCACUGUCAGGGAAUACAGUAGGGUUAUCAGAGUUGUGUGUGUCUGUUUGGAAACCUGAGUUCCCCAGUGACCCUGAGGAGCCUGAGGAAGACCAAAUCCAGGAGGAAUAGAGACUUACUCUUUCAACACUGGCGGGUCCAUGCCUGUCCUAUGAGCGUUAAGAACUUGAACUGUGAUCCCAAAACCAAAUUCUGCGAAGGAUCGCUCCCACAUUCUUUAUUUCAAGAGAGACCUCCUAUUCUGUGUUUUCUAUGCCCUUGAAGGGCUGUUCUCGGGCGGCACCAGAGCCAUAUGUUGGCUCCAAAUGAGAAAGCAGGCAAAACAGCAGGGGAUUAGAGUUUCCCCUGAUGAACAAACACGGGAUCUGAAGCAGAAACCCCACAUCUUCAGAAGAGAAAAUAGAAAAGCCAGCCUCUGCUUACCCUUCUAUCUCAGCUCAGCAGUUCACAUCCAGGAGCUUCCAUGGGUGGGCCCUUGAAAAAGCAGCAGCUGAUGUGGAUGUGACUUGGUGGAGCCUGACAGAUCCUCAUCUGACAGCUUCUCAGGAUGCCAUCAGGUCAGGCAUAUUUGAAGUAAAUUUGUUGUCUUCUUGAACGUGGGAACCUUUUUAGGUCAUCUGAUAUGCUAGCUACAUUGCUAGAACUAGCUCCUUACUUAUGAUUAUAUUCAUAAACAUCUUUGAUUUUUUUAUUUUUGGCUCCACAUUUAUAAAUUAUCCCACUAUGCUAUCCAUUUAAUGAGUGGGGCUACUAUCAUAUUUUAAUAACUCCCAAAGUCUAUAUUUGCUUAUUUUAUGAGAGUCAAGCAGAAAUAACUUUCCUCUGUUUUAUUUUUCUAUGUAGGAAGCCUUUGAUAAUUUAUCAGCAUCCAGUGAAAAAGGUCCUGAAAGUUUUUUGAAUUGUAUUUCUCUGAAUUUUCAUUGACAAUUAGUUCCUACCAGAAGGGAUACUAAUGUAGAAAAGAAUGCGUAAUGGUCCAAGAGACUGACAUAUUUUUUAGCAACUACUUCCUGCAGGCUCAACCCAGCCCAACAGUAGGGAAACACAGCGGUCAUCAUUAGGAUAUCUCACCCUGAUAUGAGGACAAUGGAUAACCUAGUACACGGAUUGAUGACCUAGUACAU